RNAcentral lists this ribosomal RNA (469 nucleotides) under uncultured soil bacterium. RNAcentral describes it as "bacterial SSU rRNA". It matches the Rfam family "Bacterial small subunit ribosomal RNA", at positions 26 to 518 of the family's 1533-position model. The record is from RNAcentral.
AGAACGAACGCUGGCGGCAUGCCUAAUACAUGCAAGUCGAACGAACUCUUCGGAGUUAGUGGCGCACGGGUGCGUAACGCGUGGGAAUCUGCCCCUUGGUUCGGAAUAACAGUUGGAAACGACUGCUAAUACCGGAUGAUGACGAAAGUCCAAAGAUUUAUCGCCAAGGGAUGAGCCCGCGUAGGAUUAGCUAGUUGGUGAGGUGAAGGCUCACCAAGGCAACGAUCCUUAGCUGGUCUGAGAGGAUGAUCAGCCACACUGGGACUGAGACACGGCCCAGACUCCUACGGGAGGCAGCAGUGGGGAAUAUUGGACAAUGGGCGAAAGCCUGAUCCAGCCAUGCCGCGUGUGUGAAGAAGGUCUUCGGAUUGUAAAGCACUUUAAGUGGGAGGAAGGUUGUAACUUAAUACGUUGCAACUUUGACGUUACCGACAGAAUAAGCACCGGCUAACUUCGUGCCAGCAGCCGC